CCGUCUCAACGAAAAAGGCACAGAUGCUGGGGUGCUCGUCGAGUCGGGCCUUUUGGACAGACAUCAGGUAGAAGCUGUGAAUAGCAUUGCAAGGGCUGCAAAGUCUGGAGCUCUUGGUGGGCAGUAAAUAGCACCAGUGUUUCUGAAGACACAGAGAAGGGCGUGGCUUCUUUCCAGGGGGGACGUCUGGGCCUUGAGUGGUGGAAUGGGCUGGAAUGUUAGCGCUGAAGCCCCGCUGGAGCUAGAGUCUUUGCUGGGACUGGGAUUGGAGGCUGCAGAAAGCGAAAAGCGGCAAGGUCGGCUGCAGGUCAUGGAGAAGCAACAAACGCGCUUCUCUGAAGGAUGGAAAAAUCGAUGCCCACGGAAGAGUGGGUGCAGGGAAGGUGUGGACAGCAGCGGAGGGGAGAAGACCAAGGGCGGGGGGGAGUCAGGCGCCUGGGGUCCCUCCGCUGCGGCACUGGCUGUUCCCCAUCUCCCAGAGCAAAGUCAGAGGUCAGUGUGGUCAGCACAGGCCCGGUGGUGUGGUUUUGGUUUUCAUUAUUUUGUUCUGAUUACCAAAGCUGUGCGUGUUCGUGUAGAAAAUCAAAAUCACCAAAUCCAUCCCCAGAGGUAGCCUCCCCGUUA
This is a long non-coding RNA of Lagenorhynchus albirostris (white-beaked dolphin), 624 nucleotides long. RefSeq lists it as uncharacterized. The transcript is spliced from 3 exons. The record is from RefSeq and is a predicted model, not a curated record. Lineage: Eukaryota; Metazoa; Chordata; Mammalia; Artiodactyla; Delphinidae.